Long non-coding RNA from Polypterus senegalus (gray bichir), 3866 nucleotides. RefSeq lists it as uncharacterized. The transcript has 8 exons. The record is from RefSeq and is a predicted model, not a curated record. Lineage: Eukaryota; Metazoa; Chordata; Cladistia; Polypteriformes; Polypteridae.
AAAUCAGGUUUGUAAAGGCCACAGACCUUAAACUUUAGUGCAACUAAGGAAAGUGAGGGCUCUAAAUCUUCAGACCCUCCUAUGUGUAGUAUUUUAGUAAUGUUCAAGUUGUACAUCACACACACCAAGCACAUUUAAACUUAUUUUUUUGAAUUUGGAAAUGUGGCCACUGUUGAAACUAUUUCUGGUUGGCUGCUGUGCUCUCUCGGGCCAAGCACCAAAGGUGUUAAUGACUCUAAUCUCGUUUAUGGUUGAUCAAUGAGACUAUUUUUAUAUAAGAAAUUAGCUUUUGAAAGGCCACUGACUUUGUUCCCUACGCUUUAAUUGCACCCAGGAAAGUGGGGGAUGUGUUAGAGGUGAGACAAUGGCCAGAGUAGUUAAUGUCUAUGAGCUUAUCAUAAGACUCUGUUUGGUGAUGUCUCAUUAGAAAAGAGUAAGAAAGUUAAGUAACUUUAAAAUAAAUAAAUGAAUUCUCCCCCAAGAUAUUUUGGGUAGAAAAACACAAGAUUAAAACUGAAUAAAAAUUUUAAACUGCAAAACAAGUUUUAUUUUAAAGGCAAUAGGGGAAUGGGUCAAGUAAAAUGCUACCAAUUAUAGCAUAAAUUAUUUUCCUGACCAAUUUGUCUCCCCAAAGACACAUUUAAACUUUAUUUUUUUUUAAAUUUGGAAAUGUGGCCAAUGCUAAAUAAGCGCCACACAGGAAGCAAUUGUUCGAAAUGGGAGUUCAGGUAUGGACAGACAAAGAAAUAUGUUUGUGAACAUUUUGAGACAAACUUAAAAUAAAAACUCCUCAACUUGGCCUGGUGAAUUUAAUGUUUUUAAGCAUCUGUGCUUAGUACACUUUUGUUAAGGCUUUAUUACAGAUUGUUGCAUGUUUAAAAUGAAGGGGACCUCCAGUCAGUACAUUAACUAACAGUGUAAGUACACAACACACUAUUAACAAUAUGACAAAAAGCCUCCAUUGGACUAUGCAACAAAGUUAUUUGUUUAGAAAACAUUAAGAUAGUUGGCAGUAUUUACAUAUUUAUGCAUAUGACGGCAAUGUGGAUAAGGAGUUGGAAGUCAAACUCUAAGGUUGUGGGUUCACAUCCUGCUACUGACACCAUAAGACCCUGAAGAGGACCCAUGUAUAAAGUUUUAUGUAAAGACUCUGUUCUCCAAAAGAAGGAAGUUUCACUACAUGUGCAUCAUCCACCUCAGGUCUGAUAAAUUGUGGCCACCCUGCCAGAGUUCACAUCAAUAAAGUUUACAUGUUAAACACUCAGGGUACUUUUUACUGUCACCUGGAUAUACAGUGCUGUUCAGAUGUGGUAAUUUGUGGAAAUUGUGCCACUGUACAAAUGUAUGGGGUUUGUACGUAUACGGUCAUUUGACUGACAUCUUUGGGCGGAUUCCCCUGAGGGGCAGCGUCUGGACAACCCCAAAUAACUAUAUUAAUAUAUAUAUAAUAUUCUCUCUCUCUCUCUCUCCAAAAAAGUUUGACUUCUGAACCUAUUUUCUUCAAUUACAAUGGCCAAGUCUUCAGAGUGCAGGUAAGUGAAAAUAUUUCCACUCUUUACGUUUAACUCGUUGUUUGAUUAUUUUGGUAACAGAUGUGAGAAGCCACAGAAGAUAUCUGUCCACUUGACCAGGACAUGCAUUAAGAAGAAUAGCACGCCGGAAGAAAUAAAGGCAGAAGUAAAGAGGGCCAGGGAAUCUCGCAGAAAAUUCGGUAUUGAAAACAGGGUCGUGGAUUGCAUGGACUUAAUUAGUGAUCACCCCACAACCUAUCCUGUGCUGAUCAAUGACCUGAAAGAGGUGUGUGUUUGUUUUUUUUUUUUGUUUUAAAUAAACAAGCCAUCUGCCAUUUUAUGUGGCUUCUCUGGCUGCAUCUACAGUUUCCCCUCCGGCUGCUUCUGUGUCCCCUGACAGCUCUUCCCAGGAAAGCCUGGGAAACAUUGAAAAGGAUGACCCAACUUGGCAGAGGCCUUCACUUGUACCGUAAGGGUCCAUAUGGACAGGCACGGCCUUUACCAGAAGUUUGAUUUCUGGCUUAAUGGACCACCUAGCUAAUAUGCUUCAUGUCCCCAACUGGCAACAGGAGGUGGGCAAUGUUGCAAGAUGGUUGAAGUAUGUUCAGCCAGAUGAAAACAAAUUGACUUUGGACUUAUUAUUUGAGGCGGCAAAGGGAAAGGAGUUCCUAAUAAAGUUGAAAGAGGCUUAGCUGGCUCCGUCAACACGCCUUAAUUGUAUAAAGUGCAUGAUUCAGUUUGUAAAAUACCUGCAAAUUUCUCUAGAAUACGUAAAGGAACAAGCCAGGGCUAUUUAAAUUUCUUAAACCUGUCAAGAAAGCCCAUUGCAUGGGAACCUGGUAAGGCAGAAGCUGGUGGGGGGAAUACUCCAGAUUAACCCAAGGAUCACGCAACAUAAAAAGAUUGCCGAAUAUUUCCAGGAACCUUGGCCUUGCAACUUUCAAGAUCUUUUGUUUUGCGAUAUCCAUGCCUCUUCAGAUUGCCAGGACAUGACCUUAUUUAAAUAUUACUUAGAGGCCAAAUUAUGCUUGGACACUUUCAACGUCCAGGAGUGGGCGAGGGCAUCAGUCACUGAGUGGUUGGACCGACAAGAUGCACCAGACUGCCAAAGUCGUCACUAUUAAGGAUCACAAAACUGCUGCUACACAGGUGGCCACAAUUGGAGGAAGAAGCUUGGGUGGAUAUGUAAUUCAAAUAUAUUCAUCCGGUGUGGCAAAACCAGGAUGUUGAAGAUGAUGACCGGUUCUUCUUGUCGGUCAAAAGAGGACUUAUCGGUAGCGGCACCAGCGAUGUGCAGCGGCUGCAUGACAUGUUUGGUGUGCCCAACGCCACCAGCACUGAGGUCAGGAAAGCUGUUGAGACCUUUACUGGAGCACACUUCACAAGUGAGCAAAAACGGAACUUGGCCAACUACCUUACCCACACAACAGAAGUAGCAGAGAGCCACUAUCACAGCCAGAACCAUGCGAUAGUGAUCAACACCAUCGACAUGGUCCAUGCUCAUUUGGGAUCCUCCAGUUCUGGUGAGGAAGUUGCAGCACUGCUGCUACACAAUCAGAAAAGAGGGACAUUGAUUUUUCAGUGUUUACUUCAGUAUACCCGAUGUCCACUGAAGGCCAGCCUCCUACUAAGAAGAUGAGGAAGGAGGCUGGUUUUGGUGAGGACCGAUCUUGCUAUGAUCGGUGGAGAGCUUGCCAGUACAUGGAAAGAGAGAAAUGCAUCUUGUCCAUGUUCCGUAUCACCAAACCCACCCUGGAAACUUUGCCUCUCAAUUUUCCGUUGCAGGGAUGGGAGUCCAAUGUCCAAAGACAGGGGAAAUCCUCAGCAUUUGGAAACCUACUUCCAAAAAUGAAGUUGAAGACCACAAAAUUUCCAGGGCAGUGCAGUAUCAAAGUUGGAGGGGGCUGCAUAUAAGAUUUUGGAAGUGGGAAAGGCUUUGGAGUGGUUGCAACCCGAACAUUCUCUAAAGGGGACUACCAUGGGUGGGUAGUCACAAAAGGACUAAGGCUAGUGAAGAGCCAAGUAGAUGAGAUGGGCUAUGUCUUCUUCUUUGAAACAGGGGACACAGUUAUGGCGAUUUGAUGUGCAGACAUACCCAUCCAUCUGUUUUAGGGAUCUGCACCAGCACCACCAGACCAAAACACCAUGAAGGCGAUGACAACUGAUUGGUUUCAUUUAGGAAUAUUCUGGUCAGGUAGAAUCUCCAGGUGGGGCUGAGCUGUCUUUUGGCUUUGGAACCCCUAUAUAAAAAUUAUAUAUAUAUAUUUUUAUUGGCCACCUGAUCUUAUCUUGAUUUGUUGUUGUUCUAUUAUUUAAUAUUAUUGCUGAAUCUUAAUUUGUUUUCUUUUAAUUUUG